This is a small nucleolar RNA of Gastrolobium bilobum, 107 nucleotides long. The record is from RefSeq and is a predicted model, not a curated record. Lineage: Eukaryota; Viridiplantae; Streptophyta; Magnoliopsida; Fabales; Fabaceae.
AAACCAUGUUGUGGACAUUUUCUGAGCAAUCCUUUGAACCUUUCCAAUGAUUCAUAUAAAGAUUCACUUUCUUUUUAUUCAAAAGAAGUGAUAUCCGCCUUGAGCUU